This 118-nucleotide small RNA is filed under the name Salmonella enterica subsp. enterica serovar Berta. RNAcentral describes it as "RtT RNA". It matches the Rfam family "RtT RNA". From Rfam's summary of the family: This family represents a bacterial cis-regulatory element known as RtT RNA. RNAcentral also lists the same sequence under 7 other names. Lineage: Bacteria; Pseudomonadati; Pseudomonadota; Gammaproteobacteria; Enterobacterales; Enterobacteriaceae. The record is from RNAcentral.
UGUAUCUGAAGCCUGACGAGGAUGAGAACCUCCGGGGGCAAGAGGUUCGACCCGAGCGAAGCGAGAGAACGUUGCGUCAGCAACGGCCCGCAGGGCGAGCCAUCCUCUAUCACCGGCA